This 559-nucleotide ribosomal RNA is filed under the name uncultured bacterium. RNAcentral describes it as "partial 16S ribosomal RNA". It matches the Rfam family "Bacterial small subunit ribosomal RNA", at positions 355 to 1375 of the family's 1533-position model. The record is from RNAcentral.
UGGGGAAUAUUGGACAAUGGGCGCAAGCCUGAUCCAGCAAUGCCGCGUGAGUGAUGAAGGCCUUAGGGUUGUAAAGCUCUUUCGCACGCGACGAUGAUGACGGUAGCGUGAGAAGAAGCCCCGGCUAACUUCGUGCCAGCAGCCGCGGUAAUACGAAGGGGGCUAGCGUUGUUCGGAAUUACUGGGCGUAAAGGGCGCGUAGGCGGCCUGUUUAGUCAGAAGUGAAAGCCCCGGGCUCAACCUGGGAAUAGCUUUUGAUACUGGCAGGCUUGAGUUCCGGAGAGGAUGGUGGAAUUCCCAGUGUAGAGGUGAAAUUCGUAGAUAUUGGGAAGAACACCGGUGGCGAAGGCGGCCAUCUGGACGGACACUGACGCUGAGGCGCGAAAGCGUGGGGAGCAAACAGAUUAGAUACCCUGGUAGUCCACGCCGUAAACGAUGAAUGCUAGACGUCGGGGUGCAUNCACUUCGGUGUCGCCGCUAACGCAUUAAGCAUUCCGCCUGGGGAGUACGGCCGCAAGGUUAAAACUCAAAUGAAUUGACGGGGUCAUAGCUGUUUCCU